AGGACGAACGCUGGCGGCGUGCUUAACACAUGCAAGUCGAACGAGGUGCUUGCACCUAGUGGCGAACGGGUGAGUAACACGUGAGCAACCUGCCCUUGGCUCUGGGAUAGCCUCCGGAAACGGGGAUUAAUACCGGACAUGACCUUCUUCCGCAUGGUUGAAGGUGGAAAGUUUUUCGGCCAGGGAGGGGCUCGCGGCCUAUCAGCUUGUUGGAGGGGUAACGGCCCACCAAGGCGACGACGGGUAGCCGGCCUGAGAGGGCGACCGGCCACACUGGGACUGAGACACGGCCCAGACUCCUACGGGAGGCAGCAGUGGGGAAUAUGCGCAAUGGGGGAAACCCUGACGCAGCGACGCCGCGUGCGGGAUGAAGGCCUUCGGGUUGUAACCGCUUUCACCAGGGACGAAGCGAGAGUGACGGUACCUGGGGAAGAAGGCGCCGGCUAACUACGUGCCAGCAGCCGC
This 465-nucleotide ribosomal RNA is filed under the name uncultured bacterium. Its description in RNAcentral is "SSU rRNA". It matches the Rfam family "Bacterial small subunit ribosomal RNA", at positions 26 to 518 of the family's 1533-position model. The record is from RNAcentral.